Molecule: unclassified non-coding RNA, 358 nt
Filed under: soil metagenome
Description: partial contains 5.8S ribosomal RNA, internal transcribed spacer 2, and large subunit ribosomal RNA
Rfam family: 5.8S ribosomal RNA (bases 1-120)
Source: RNAcentral
GAUGAAGAACGUAGCGAAAUGCGAUAAGUAAUGUGAAUUGCAGAAUUCAGUGAAUCAUCGAAUCUUUGAACGCACAUUGCGCCCGUCAGUAUUCUGGCGGGCAUGCCUGUUCGAGCGUCAUUACGCCCCUCAAGUCCCCUGUGGACUUGGUGUUGGGGAUCGGCGAGGCUGGUUUUCCAGCACAGCCGUCCCUUAAAUUAAUUGGCGGUCUCGCCGUGGCCCUCCUCUGCGCAGUAGUAAAACACUCGCAACAGGAGCCCGGCGCGGUCCACUGCCGUAAAACCCCCCAACUUUGUAUAGUUGACCUCGAAUCAGGUAGGACUACCCGCUGAACUUAAGCAUAUCAAUAAGCGGAGGA